This is a non-coding RNA of Podarcis lilfordi (Lilford's wall lizard), 1086 nucleotides long. The record is from the annotation of a GenBank genome assembly. NCBI's taxonomy places the organism in Eukaryota, Metazoa, Chordata, Lepidosauria, Squamata, Lacertidae.
ACUGCAGAGUUUGGAGAAAAUGAAAGACAAAGUGCGAGAUUGGUUACAUUACGCUCAGAUUAAAGAAGUUUUUAAAAAUGAUAAGAAACUAGGGUUCCAGGUGGAGAAAUCGAAAUUAGAAACAGAAUUGUUAGAACCAAAGACUAAGGUACUUUCAAGGAUGUAUAACUUGCUGUUGGAAUGGAAUACACAAGAUGAAAUGGUUAAAUCGGCUAUGAUAAGGUGGGCACAGGACAUUGGGUAUAAUAUUAUGUUUGAGGACUGGGAAAAGUUGUGGAGUAAUGGAUUGAAAUUUACUGCAUGUAACGCUCUGAAAGAAAAUGUAAUGAAAAUGAUUUAUAGAUGGUAUAUGACCCCAGUUAAACUUGCAAAAAUUUACCACCUGUCUGAUAAUAAGUGUUGGAAAUGUAAAGAGUGUGAGGGAACGUUCUUCCACCUCUGGUGGACCUGCCCUAAAGUGAAGGCGUUCUGGGAAAUGAUUUAUAAUGAAUUGAAAAAGGUAUUUAAAUAUACCUUUACCAAGAAACCAGAGGCUUUCCUUCUGGGUAUUGUCAGCCAAGGGGUGGCAAAGAAGGACCAGACAUUUUUAUGUAUGCAACAACAGCAGCAAGGAUACUUCUUGCAAAACAUUGGAAAACUCAAGAUUUACCCACACUGGAAGAAUGGCAGAUGCAACUGAUAGACUACAUGGAACUGGCUGAAAUGACUGGCAGAAUCCGUGACCUGGGAGAAGAGAGAAUCGAGGAGGAUUGGAAGAAAUUUAAGAACUAUCUACAAAAAUAUUGUGAUUUGAGUGAAUGCUAAAUAAGAUGCUAGACUAAAUAACUGAGCACCACUUAACUUAGAAGUUUUUAAGAAAACAAGUAAGACUGUGAAAGUUUAACUCUUUAUGAGAACCAUAAGAUUAUGAAACAUUGAAGAGAUAUAAGAAUUUAAAUAAGAUGAUAAAUUGCUGACAAAAUGUUAUAACGAUGAAAGUGGGAGCGGGGGAUGUGAGGAAGUCCAAAGAAAAUGUGAAACUAUGUUAAGACAAAUGUUAUAUUGUUCAUUAUGUUUAUUAUUAUUGUAAAACCCAAUAAAUUGCUU